Molecule: ribosomal RNA, 2930 nt
Filed under: Klebsiella aerogenes
Lineage: Bacteria; Pseudomonadati; Pseudomonadota; Gammaproteobacteria; Enterobacterales; Enterobacteriaceae
Description: 23S ribosomal RNA
Rfam family: Bacterial large subunit ribosomal RNA
Source: RNAcentral
GGGUUGUGAGGUUAAGCGACUAAGCGUACACGGUGGAUGCCCUGGCAGUCAGAGGCGAUGAAGGACGUGCUAAUCUGCGAAAAGCGUCGGUAAGGUGAUAUGAACCGUUAUAGCCGGCGAUGUCCGAAUGGGGAAACCCAGUGCAAUUCGUUGCACUAUCGUUAACUGAAUACAUAGGUUAACGAGGCGAACCGGGGGAACUGAAACAUCUAAGUACCCCGAGGAAAAGAAAUCAACCGAGAUUCCCCCAGUAGCGGCGAGCGAACGGGGAGCAGCCCAGAGUCUGAAUCAGCUUGUGUGUUAGUGGAACGGUCUGGAAAGUCCGACGGUACAGGGUGAUAGUCCCGUACACCAAAAUGCACAGGUUGUGAACUCGAAGAGUAGGGCGGGACACGUGGUAUCCUGUCUGAAUAUGGGGGGACCAUCCUCCAAGGCUAAAUACUCCUGACUGACCGAUAGUGAACCAGUACCGUGAGGGAAAGGCGAAAAGAACCCCGGCGAGGGGAGUGAAAAAGAACCUGAAACCGUGUACGUACAAGCAGUGGGAGCACCUUCGGGUGUGACUGCGUACCUUUUGUAUAAUGGGUCAGCGACUUAUAUUCUGUAGCAAGGUUAACCGUAUAGGGGAGCCGCAGGGAAACCGAGUCUUAACUGGGCGUUAAGUUGCAGGGUAUAGACCCGAAACCCGGUGAUCUAGCCAUGGGCAGGUUGAAGGUUGGGUAACACUAACUGGAGGACCGAACCGACUAAUGUUGAAAAAUUAGCGGAUGACUUGUGGCUGGGGGUGAAAGGCCAAUCAAACCGGGAGAUAGCUGGUUCUCCCCGAAAGCUAUUUAGGUAGCGCCUCGUGAACUCAUCUUCGGGGGUAGAGCACUGUUUCGGCUAGGGGGUCAUCCCGACUUACCAACCCGAUGCAAACUACGAAUACCGAAGAAUGUUAUCACGGGAGACACACGGCGGGUGCUAACGUCCGUCGUGAAGAGGGAAACAACCCAGACCGCCAGCUAAGGUCCCAAAGUCACAGUUAAGUGGGAAACGAUGUGGGAAGGCACAGACAGCCAGGAUGUUGGCUUAGAAGCAGCCAUCAUUUAAAGAAAGCGUAAUAGCUCACUGGUCGAGUCGGCCUGCGCGGAAGAUGUAACGGGGCUAAACUGUGCACCGAAGCUGCGGCAGCGACACUAUGUGUUGUUGGGUAGGGGAGCGUUCUGUAAGCCUGCGAAGGUGGCCUGUGAGGGUUGCUGGAGGUAUCAGAAGUGCGAAUGCUGACAUAAGUAACGAUAAUGCGGGUGAAAAGCCCGCACGCCGGAAGACCAAGGGUUCCUGUCCAACGUUAAUCGGGGCAGGGUGAGUCGACCCCUAAGGCGAGGCCGAAAGGCGUAGUCGAUGGGAAACAGGUUAAUAUUCCUGUACUUGGUGUUACUGCGAAGGGGGGACGGAGAAGGCUAUGUUAGCCGGGCGACGGUUGUCCCGGUUUAAGCAUGUAGGCGGAGGUUCCAGGUAAAUCCGGUACCUUUUAACGCUGAGGUGUGAUGACGAGGCACUACGGUGCUGAAGUAACAAAUGCCCUGCUUCCAGGAAAAGCCUCUAAGCAUCAGGUAACAUCAAAUCGUACCCCAAACCGACACAGGUGGUCAGGUAGAGAAUACCAAGGCGCUUGAGAGAACUCGGGUGAAGGAACUAGGCAAAAUGGUGCCGUAACUUCGGGAGAAGGCACGCUGAUAUGUAGGUGAAGCCCCUGCGGGUGGAGCUGAAAUCAGUCGAAGAUACCAGCUGGCUGCAACUGUUUAUUAAAAACACAGCACUGUGCAAACACGAAAGUGGACGUAUACGGUGUGACGCCUGCCCGGUGCCGGAAGGUUAAUUGAUGGGGUUAUCCGUAAGGAGAAGCUCUUGAUCGAAGCCCCGGUAAACGGCGGCCGUAACUAUAACGGUCCUAAGGUAGCGAAAUUCCUUGUCGGGUAAGUUCCGACCUGCACGAAUGGCGUAAUGAUGGCCAGGCUGUCUCCACCCGAGACUCAGUGAAAUUGAACUCGCUGUGAAGAUGCAGUGUACCCGCGGCAAGACGGAAAGACCCCGUGAACCUUUACUAUAGCUUGACACUGAACAUUGAGCCUUGAUGUGUAGGAUAGGUGGGAGGCUUUGAAGCGUGGACGCCAGUCUGCGUGGAGCCAACCUUGAAAUACCACCCUUUAAUGUUUGAUGUUCUAACGUUGGCCCCUAAUCGGGGUUGCGGACAGUGUCUGGUGGGUAGUUUGACUGGGGCGGUCUCCUCCCAAAGAGUAACGGAGGAGCACGAAGGUUAGCUAAUCCUGGUCGGACAUCAGGAGGUUAGUGCAAUGGCAUAAGCUAGCUUGACUGCGAGCGUGACGGCGCGAGCAGGUGCGAAAGCAGGUCAUAGUGAUCCGGUGGUUCUGAAUGGAAGGGCCAUCGCUCAACGGAUAAAAGGUACUCCGGGGAUAACAGGCUGAUACCGCCCAAGAGUUCAUAUCGACGGCGGUGUUUGGCACCUCGAUGUCGGCUCAUCACAUCCUGGGGCUGAAGUAGGUCCCAAGGGUAUGGCUGUUCGCCAUUUAAAGUGGUACGCGAGCUGGGUUUAGAACGUCGUGAGACAGUUCGGUCCCUAUCUGCCGUGGGCGCUGGAGAAUUGAGGGGGGCUGCUCCUAGUACGAGAGGACCGGAGUGGACGCAUCACUGGUGUUCGGGUUGUCAUGCCAAUGGCAUUGCCCGGUAGCUAAAUGCGGAAGAGAUAAGUGCUGAAAGCAUCUAAGCACGAAACUUGCCCCGAGAUGAGUUCUCCCUGAGACUUUAAGUCUCCUGAAGGAACGUUAAAGACGAUGACGUUGAUAGGUCGGGUGUGUAAGCGUAGCGAUACGUUGAGCUAACCGAUACUAAUGAACCGUGAGGCUUAACCUUACAACGCCGAAGCUGUU